GGGGUGCUCGAGUGGCGAACGGGUGAGUAACACGUGAGUAACCUGCCCUUGACUUUGGGAUAACUUCAGGAAACUGGGGCUAAUACCGGAUAGGAGCUCCUGCUGCAUGGUGGGGGUUGGAAAGUUUCGGCGGUUGGGGAUGGACUCGCGGCUUAUCAGCUUGUUGGUGGGGUAGUGGCUUACCAAGGCCUUGACGGGUAGCCGGCCUGAGAGGGUGACCGGCCACAUUGGGACUGAGAUACGGCCCAG
Molecule: ribosomal RNA, 249 nt
Filed under: uncultured Actinomycetales bacterium
Lineage: Bacteria; Bacillati; Actinomycetota; Actinomycetes; Actinomycetales
Description: partial 16S ribosomal RNA
Rfam family: Bacterial small subunit ribosomal RNA
Source: RNAcentral